UCUUCUAGCUUGCUAGAAGUGGAUUAGUGGCGCACGGGUGAGUAAUGCAUAGGUUAUGUGCCCUUUAGUCUGGGAUAGCCACUGGAAACGGUGAUUAAUACUGGAUACUCCCUACGGGGGAAAGUUUUUCGCUAAAGGAUCAGCCUAUGUCCUAUCAGCUUGUUGGUGAGGUAAUGGCUCACCAAGGCUAUGACGGGUAUCCGGCCUGAGAGGGUGAUCGGACACACUGGAACUGAGACACGGUCCAGACUCCUACGGGAGGCAGCAGUAGGGAAUAUUGCUCAAUGGGGGAAACCCUGAAGCAGCAACGCCGCGUGGAGGAUGAAGGUUUUAGGAUUGUAAACUCCUUUUGUUAGAGAAGAUUAUGACGGUAUCUAACGAAUAAGCACCGGCUAACUCCGUGCCAGCAGCCGCGGUAAUACGGAGGGUGCAAGCGUUACUCGGAAUCACUGGGCGUAAAGAGUGCGUAGGCGGGGUAAUAAGUCAGAUGUGAAAUCCUGUAGCUUAACUACAGAACUGCAUUUGAAACUGUUACUCUGGAGUGUGGGAGAGGUAGGUGGAAUUCUUGGUGUAGGGGUAAAAUCCGUAGAGAUCAAGAGGAAUACUCAUUGCGAAGGCGACCUGCUGGAACAUUACUGACGCUGAUGCACGAAAGCGUGGGGAGCAAACAGGAUUAGAUACCCUGGUAGUCCACGCCCUAAACGAUGGAUGCUAGUUGUUGCCUUGCUUGUCAGGGCAGUAAUGCAGCUAACGCAUUAAGCAUCCCGCCUGGGGAGUACGGUCGCAAGAUUAAAACUCAAAGGAAUAGACGGGGACCCGCACAAGCGGUGGAGCAUGUGGUUUAAUUCGAAGAUACGCGAAGAACCUUACCUAGGCU
Molecule: ribosomal RNA, 877 nt
Filed under: uncultured bacterium
Lineage: Bacteria
Description: bacterial SSU rRNA
Rfam family: Bacterial small subunit ribosomal RNA
Source: RNAcentral